Molecule: non-coding RNA, 46 nt
Organism: Trichobilharzia regenti
Lineage: Eukaryota; Metazoa; Platyhelminthes; Trematoda; Strigeidida; Schistosomatidae
Source: Rfam
GUACUGCUGGAGAGUCCCAAAAUAGGACGAAACAGUUGUCCAGUAC